AGCAGCCGCGGUAAUUCCAGCUCCAAUAGCGUAUAUUAAAGUUGUUGCAGUUAAAAAGCUCGUAGUUGAAUUUCGGGAUUGACGUGACGGUCAUGCCUUAAGGGGUAUGAACUGUUACAGUUGAUUUCUCACCUUCUGGAGAAACUUGAUGUCCUUUAUUGGGUGUCUUGCGGAUCCAGGACCUUUACCUUGAAAAAAUUAGAGUGUUUAAAGCAGGCAUUUUUGCUCGAAUACAUUAGCAUGGAAUAAUAGAAUAGGACGGCAUGGUUCUAUUUUGUUGGUUUCUAGGAUCACCGUAAUGAUUAAUAGGGAUAGUUGGGGGCAUUAGUAUUCAAUUGUCAGAGGUGAAAUUCUUGGAUUUAUUGAAGACUAACUACUGCGAAAGCAUUUGCCAAGGAUGUUUUCAUUAAUCAAGAACGAAAGUUAGGGGAUCGAAGACGAUCAGAUACCGUCGUAGUCUUAACCAUAAACUAAUGCCGACUAGGGAUCGGGUGAUGUAAUUUUUAAUGAUCAUUCGCGU
RNAcentral lists this ribosomal RNA (520 nucleotides) under uncultured Glomus. RNAcentral's name for it is "SSU rRNA". It matches the Rfam family "Eukaryotic small subunit ribosomal RNA", at positions 569 to 1085 of the family's 1831-position model. The record is from RNAcentral. Lineage: Eukaryota; Fungi; Glomeromycota; Glomeromycetes; Glomerales; Glomeraceae.